RNAcentral lists this transfer RNA (73 nucleotides) under Carcharhinus plumbeus (sandbar shark). Its description in RNAcentral is "tRNA-Asn". Lineage: Eukaryota; Metazoa; Chordata; Chondrichthyes; Carcharhiniformes; Carcharhinidae. The record is from RNAcentral.
UAGAUAGAAGUUCGUUGGAUUAAACGCUUAGCUGUUAACUAAGAUUUUGCAGGAUCGAGGCCUGUCUGUCUAG